This 497-nucleotide ribosomal RNA is filed under the name uncultured bacterium. Its description in RNAcentral is "partial 16S ribosomal RNA". It matches the Rfam family "Bacterial small subunit ribosomal RNA", at positions 28 to 507 of the family's 1533-position model. The record is from RNAcentral.
GAUGAACGCUGGCGGCGUGCCUAAUACAUGCAAGUCGAGCGAACGGACGAGAAGCUUGCUUCUCUGAUGUUAGCGGCGGACGGGUGAGUAACACGUGGAUAACCUACCUAUAAGACUGGGAUAACUUCGGGAAACCGGAGCUAAUACCGGAUAAUAUUUUGAACCGCAUGGUUCAAAAGUGAAAGACGGUCUUGCUGUCACUUAUAGAUGGAUCCGCGCUGCAUUAGCUAGUUGGUAAGGUAACGGCUUACCAAGGCAACGAUGCAUAGCCGACCUGAGAGGGUGAUCGGCCACACUGGAACUGAGACACGGUCCAGACUCCUAAGGGAGGCAGCAGUAGGGAAUCUUCCGCAAUGGGCGAAAGCCUGACGGAGCAACGCCGCGUGAGUGAUGAAGGUCUUCGGAUCGUAAAACUCUGUUAUUAGUGAAGAACAUAUGUGUAAGUAACUGUGCACAUCUUGACGGUACCUAAUCAGAAAGCCACGGCUAACUACGUG